UCCGGUUUGUCACCGGCAGUCUCUGCAGAGUCCUCGGCUUUACCCGUUAGCAACAGCAGAUAAGGGUUGCGCUCGUUGCGGGACUUAACCCAACAUCUCGCGACACGAGCUGACGACAGCCAUGCAGCACCUGUGCUAGCCCCAAAAGGACACGGGCUUUCACCCGCUUUAACUAGCAUGUCAAGCCCAGGUAAGGUUCUUCGCGUUGCAUCGAAUUAAGCCACAUGCUCCGCCGCUUGUGCGGGCCCCCGUCAAUUCCUUUGAGUUUCAGCCUUGCGGCCGUACUCCCCAGGCGGGGUGCUUAAUGCGUUAACUUCGGCACAGAGCGGGUCAAACGCCGCCCCACACCUAGCACCCAACGUUUACGGCUAGGACUAC
RNAcentral lists this unclassified non-coding RNA (378 nucleotides) under uncultured bacterium. Its description in RNAcentral is "contains 16S-23S intergenic spacer region". The record is from RNAcentral.